UGGGGGAAUAUUGGGCAAUGGGCGAAAGCCUGACCCAGCGACGCCGCGUGAAGGAAGAAGGUCUUCGGAUUGUAAACUUCUUUUAUUGGGGACGAAGAAAUGACGGUACCCAAUGAAUAAGCCACGGCUAACUACGUGCCAGCAGCCGCGGUAAUACGUAGGUGGCGAGCGUUAUCCGGAUUUACUGGGUGUAAAGGGUGUGUAGGCGGGACUGCAAGUCAGAAGUGAAAAUUAUGGGCUUAACUCAUAACUUGCUUUUGAAACUGUGGUUCUUGAGGGUCGGAGAGGCAAUCGGAAUUCCUAGUGUAGCGGUGAAAUGCGUAGAUAUUAGGAGGAACACCAGUGGCGAAGGCGGAUUGCUGGACGACAACUGACGGUGAGGCGCGAAAGCGUGGGGAGCAAACAGGAUUAGAUACCCUGGUAGU
Molecule: ribosomal RNA, 425 nt
Filed under: uncultured Pseudoflavonifractor sp.
Lineage: Bacteria; Bacillati; Bacillota; Clostridia; Eubacteriales; Oscillospiraceae
Description: bacterial SSU rRNA
Rfam family: Bacterial small subunit ribosomal RNA
Source: RNAcentral